This 5027-nucleotide long non-coding RNA is filed under the name Olea europaea subsp. europaea. Lineage: Eukaryota; Viridiplantae; Streptophyta; Magnoliopsida; Lamiales; Oleaceae. The record is from RNAcentral.
UGUAAAUCCAUCUGUGGGUCCUCGAGCAUGUUCGUCCUCGAGACACAAGUCCCGACCACAUCUCCAUCAUGCUUCGCAUAUUGCAAACAUGUGUCCUCGGGCAUGGUCCUCGAGAAUGCUCCUCCUUACUGCUGACGAUUGUUCACCCUUUAGAAUUCCUACGCAAUUAGGAAUCUUAACUCCCACAAGAGUCCUAUCUCACGCAUAAUUCUGGAAUUCAACCAACUCCUUAACCAUUCAGGACUCCAACAGAUGAGGACAUCCAGCUAGUUGAGUCCAAUUAGGAGAAUGUCACUUACUACUAUAAAUACAGAACCUUGAACCAUUAUUCAGGUACGUUUUUCUCAUUGUUCUUCAGCAUAUAGCCUCACGCAUAUAUUUCCCUUUCUGACUUAAGCAUCGGAGGGGCGACGAGAACACACCUCGUUGCCUUUGUUUCAGGUAUCGGAAGAUCACGUUCGUGCUCAUCAUUAGUCAUCAAGCUCGGAAAAUCUACAGGUACGAUUUUUGGUAGCAUCAAUACCCAUUGCCGAAUAAUUUGGAAAUCGGGAGGUAAAAUUUUAGGAGGAUGGAGUGCUUGUUAUAGAAAUUUGUAGAUUGGAAUAUUAAGACCUUAUUUAAUUUUUGAUGUGUGUAAAUUACUUGAGCUGUCGGGAUUCCAGGGAAAAAUGAUAGGGUAGGAAACCAUGUAUUUCAACGGGUUUGAAUGUGGAACAUUGACUUUGGAAAAAUUUCGAUUUGAUGGGAAAUUAGUGAAUGAAAUUUCUUGGUUAUGAGUCAAUAGAUUUUUAAUAAACACAACAUAAUUGUACUCAUCAUCAACAACAACGACAAGACUGUUUGAAAAUUUACAAGAACGUGAAACGAAUCUGGAUUGACGUGCACAUAUGUAUGAUACCUAUCUCUAGGACAUCUUGAUUGUGAAAUUGAGUUCAAUCUUUGAAAGAAAUAGAGUAUUUAUUCUGAUUAAGUACAUAUACGUUUAUAAAGGUAACAAAAUUAUAAAUGUACUUUUUUUUUAUUAUUGAAAUUGCCGCGUGGUAUACAAUAACAACCUAACCACAUUCACGGUGAAUUUACCAUUAAGGUCGGACAAGGUUCAACAAUUUUUAUAUUUGACCGAACUUCAUUUGCAAUGAAUCAUCGACUAGCUUCCAUUUUGAUUGAUUGAUCUAUGAGUGAUUGUUGUCUACUAGCUUCCAUUUCUUGAUUGAUCAACGUUUACACGUCUGUCUAAUGUAAAAAAGGUUCACUGACUUACGCCACUUAUAAUUUCAUGAGAAAGAAAAAUCAACCCUUAUCCUGGUUCAAACGAAACAACUUCUAGGUAAUAGUUUGGUUUGUAACAAGGGCAGUUUCACACAAAUUGUUACAUUUUUCAAGAUCUCAUAAUGCUUUGACUCAACAAAUGAACUGGGCCACUGAUAAUGAUGAUACAUUACACGUUCUACAUAAGAAAAAAUUAUCAAAUGAAUUAUUUCUUUAAUAAAUAAAAAAUAUCAAAUGAAUUAUAUUUUUAUUACAUUGGUUCCAUUUGGAUUUCAUUUUCUUUUGCUAAAAUUCUAUUUUUUAAGUUAAACAUUAAUUUUAAGAAUAAUGCUAUUUACAGUCGCUCACUACAGCAGUCACCCUACGUGACAUAUACAUGGUAGGUGGUUAUUUAAUAUAUUAAUAAAUAAAAAAACUACCACAUUAAUGUAUCAAAUAAUCACCUGUCAUAUGUAUGCUACGUAGGACGACUGUCGCAGUGAACGACUACGAAUAGUAUUACUCUAAUUUUAAUCACCCGUUUCGAUUUUGUGAUAUCCACAAAAGCUAUACAUUAAUCAAUAACUCAUUUCUUGAAAGAGUAUAAUUUUAGUAAAAUAAAAUGGAGGCAACGUGAACAAGCCAACAAAUGGCAGGUCAAAAUAUUUGUUUGGAACCAGAUUCGUUGACUUUGAAAAAUUAAAAUUCUAAUACUCAAUUAACUAAUUAAUAGUAUUUUUUAAAAAUCUAUAUAAUGUUAGAUUAAGACCGAUAUAAAUAUAAUUUAUUGGGAUAAGGAUAUAAAUAUUGUAAGAUUCAUGUAACAACUUUUUUUUUUAAUAUGUAAUUAAUUACAUUUUUUUGUGAAACCGAUCAAUAGAAAGUUAACAAUUUAUAAUUUUCAGCCUAAUUGGAUCACCAAUAGGGUUGAAUGCAUAGUGAAAACCCUUUUUCUUCUUAAUAUAAUAUAAGUUCUUGAAAUGUUUUGAUAUAAUCUGAAGAAAUUCUUGAAAAUAACUAUAUUUGAAAUGUUGAACCCGAUAAAAUCAGAAAAAAUUAGAUUAAACAUUUUAUUUUUCUUUCAAUUUUAUCUAAUUUAAUUAACGUAUCAAUUUUAAAUGUUGAAUGACUAAGAGGAUUGAAGAACUUGCACAUUUGUUAUACAUUUUUGUUUUCUAACUUAAUGGUGCCCAACAUGUCCUUAAAUGUUUUUGAAAAAUCAUUUCUAUACGCUCUGAUAUGUUCUCACUGGAUUGAUUGUAGUCCUUAUUUUUAUGUUUUCGUUUGUUUGCGAAUAUUCAAAUUUGAAAAGUAUUCAUAAAAGAUUUAAAUUAUAAAUAGAUAGAAUGAAUAAUAAAUAAUGAAGCAAAUUUAUACAAAUAAAUUUGAAUUAUUUAAUAUAUAAAGUAAGUAGGUAUAGCGUAAAAACUGGGAAAGCAUCUGGCGAAAUUUUCUAAAGAUUUGAUGGAGCAGAAAAUACGUGUUUACUUUGUGGGAUGGUGAAUGCAGGCUAGAGUCAAAGCACUAGACUUUGUGCAACCAAUCAUCUCUCUCUCUCUCUUGUAUUGAAAAAAAUGUGGUAUUUUGCCCUCCGGGACAUAAUCCAGUGGUGCAAAGAAUAGGAGUGAAAUAAUCACAACCUUAUGGGCAGUUGCAGUGUGAGGGUUCCAUUCCUGAGAUAUAAAAUUGGAUUCUUUGUGGGCACCAAUGUACGGGUAAACUCUUAUUCUCUGACCUGUUGAGAUACAUCCCGCGAUUUACCUUCUUUACGAUGCUCCAGGGACGGGAGGCCCUCAAGGUGGAGUUCAACCUUUUUGAAAAUGUGGUAUUCUCCUUUUGUUUUCCUUGUAUUCACAUGCCAAUAAAUAAAAAUGAAAAUAAUAUAGAACAUUUUAGACUAAUUGGGGAAGGAAGAUCAACAACUGUUACUAGUAGCUGUCGAGAAACCCAAAUCAGUAGGGACGCUAAUAAGGAUAUAUUUGAAUACCAUUAAAAUGAAGAUUCUUUUUUUUUUUUGGGGAAAAUUUGUGGUUAAAAAGUAUGAACUUUUUUUGAAUUUAUGUGCAAAAUAUUUAUUGUGAGAAUAUGUAAUUGAAAAUGAAUUUAAGAAAAAAGUAAUUUUAUUAAUUUUAAUAGUUGUAAACCAUGGCUAAAUCAUAUUAUAAUUCAGUUUAGAAUAGAUGAGGAUAGAGUGGAUUUGGAUUUGAGAGUGAAAGUAUGAUAUGUGUUUGUUUAUCACGAUACUUCAUUUUAACUGUAAAUAGAAUAAAAAUGCUACGCGUACAGGAAACUUGAUACAAAAGGGGUACAGGGUUUCAAAUGAUGCUGAUGUGGCAUAGUGGAAAAAAUAAUAAUAACACAACUAAUCAAUUCAAAAUCGUAUUUCCAUUUCCCCCAAUUCACGCAAGAAAUAUCUUUCCCAAACCAAUCUUCCUAUACUCCCGAUCACCGUCACUGUCGAUGUGAGCACCCCCUUCACCAUCGACGCCAACAAUUGCUACCUGGGAACAGAAAAUUAGACGCCACAUUCACCAACAUAUAUGACGCGGCACUCGCCUCCCUUCCCUGCCACACUCCAUGAGGGUUAGAAUGUAAAUAGUUGUGGUCGUAAUUUAGCUAUAUUUUUCUGUGUCUUCUUCUAAAUUGUUGAUUUUUUCAGCGAUUGUCGUCUUCUAAAGUUUUGUUUUUGGAUUUUCCAUUUUUUAUUUUGUAUUCUUCUAAAUUCCUUGUCGCCAAUGUUGAAUGAUACGAUGUGCAUAAUAUGAUCUUGUUAAGUAAAGUGUUGAUUUUUUAGCGGUUGUCGUCUUCUAAAGUUUUGUUUCUGGAUGUGGUUUAUUUAUUAUUAUUUUUUUGUAUUCUUUUGAAUUUAAUGUCGCCAAUGUUGAAUGAUAUGGUCUGAAUAAUAUGAUUUUGUGGUUACGAAUUUGUACAAAGAAUCAAUUCAUUUGUUAACGAGCUUAGGUUUUUGCCGAGGUUUUUUACAUGGAUAAUGAGGUUUAGGUUGUUGAUGUGGAAUUUUGCAACUGAGAUGCAUUCAUCUUUGUUUAUUUGUUUGUCCAGCCCGGAUUGACUACAAUGAGAGGAAGGAAUAUAGGAGUUUGUCACAGUUGCAGAAGCAACACUCAUUACUUUGGACAAUGCUAAACAAAGCGUCGAUGCCCUUCAUGUAAACACGGAUAUCGCAAUUGUUUUGAGAUGGAACGGGAUACUAGUAACAAAGGGCGAUUGUUCUUUACCUGUAGUAAUGAUUGUGGAUAUUUCGACUAGGUGAAAGAAGAAGUGCUAAGUGGGGAGUCAAGUUCCGUUAACGAAGCGAUGAAUCAUGAGUCCAAUGUGGAAGAUGAAGAUUUGCCAAGACUCUUUGACGGUCUAGCUCGAAUUAGUGAAAAACGAGGCGUGGACAUAUCAAUGCACUUGAGUUUCAGCAAGGGAAAGGGCAUUGCGAAGUGCGAUGGGAAAGGAAAGGGUUCGACUUGAACGGUUUAUUUGAUGUAUGGGUAAUCUUAUCAAAACUGGUCAUUGUACGAACGAUUGUUAUUAGAUUCGUCGUAAUAUAUGUUAUGGUUGCUAGAACCUUUACGACAUACUUAUUCUCGAUUUUUUUUUUUUUUUUGCGAACAUCCUAGCUAAAUUGUUUAACAAGAAAGACUUGUCAUUAAAGUCUUCUACUGUUAUUGUGCAGUCUUCAAUGUUUGUUGUAUAUUGUGUCACUGGUUUAUAUUGUACAUCCACUCAGUUUCAGCAAUCUAGCCCAUUAUCCAUUUAUUGUUACAUUCAGG